UACCAGCUCUCCGAGUGGUGUGGAUGUUUAUUGGGCCUAAAGCAUCCGUAGCUGGCCAAGUUAGUCCCCUGUUAAAUCCACCGAAUUAAUCGUUGGUGUGCGGGGGAUACUGCUCGGCUAGGGGACGAGAGAGGCAGACGGUAUUUUCGGGGUAGGGGUGAAAUCCUAUAAUCCCGGGAAGACCACCAGUGGCGAAGGCUGUCUGCUAGAACGCGCCCGACGGUGAGGGAUGAAAGCUGGGGGAGCGAACCGGAUUAGAUACCCGGGUAGCCCCAGCUGUAAACGAUGCAGGCUAGGUGUUUGAACGGCCACGGGCCGCUCUAGUGCCGCAGGGAAGCUGUUAAGCCUGCCGCCUGGGGAGUACGAUCGCAAGAUUGAA
This 379-nucleotide ribosomal RNA is filed under the name uncultured bacterium. Its description in RNAcentral is "bacterial SSU rRNA". It matches the Rfam family "Archaeal small subunit ribosomal RNA", at positions 474 to 853 of the family's 1478-position model. The record is from RNAcentral.